UGGGGAAUCUUGCGCAAUGCGCGAAAGCGUGACGCAGCAACGCCGCGUGGGGGAAGACGGCCUUCGGGUUGUAAACCCCUUUCAGGAGGGACGAAGGUUCACCGGUGAAUAGCCGUGUGGAUUGACGGUACCUCCACAAGAAGCUCCGGCUAACUACGUGCCAGCAGCCGCGGUAAUACGUAGGGAGCAAGCGUUGUCCGGAAUCAUUGGGCGUAAAGCGCGCGUAGGUGGCUUCGUAAGUCCGUUGUGAAAGUCAAAGGCUCAACCUUUGAAAGCCGAUGGAUACUGCGGAGCUAGAGUACGGAAGAGGCGAGUGGAAUUCCUGGUGUAGCGGUGGAAUGCGCAGAUAUCAGGAGGAACACCAAUAGCGAAGGCAGCUCGCUGGGACGUUACUGACACUGAGGCGCGAAAGCGUGGGGAGCGGAACAGGAUUAGAUACCCUGGUAGUCCACGCCGUAAACGAUGGGUACUAGGUGUGGGAGGUGUC
This 487-nucleotide ribosomal RNA is filed under the name uncultured Actinomycetes bacterium. Its description in RNAcentral is "bacterial SSU rRNA". It matches the Rfam family "Bacterial small subunit ribosomal RNA", at positions 355 to 833 of the family's 1533-position model. Lineage: Bacteria; Bacillati; Actinomycetota; Actinomycetes. The record is from RNAcentral.